CGCACACGCUAGGGGUCCUGCGUGUCGUGCAAGCGACAUGCGGGUGAGAAAUACCCUCCGAACCUGAUCUGGAUAAUGCCAGCGAAGGGAAGCAGUCGAGAACGGUG
This 107-nucleotide non-coding RNA is filed under the name Massilia sp. RNAcentral's name for it is "TPP sequence". It matches the Rfam family "TPP riboswitch aptamer (THI element)". Rfam says of the family: Vitamin B(1) in its active form thiamin pyrophosphate (TPP) is an essential coenzyme that is synthesised by coupling of pyrimidine and thiazole moieties in bacteria. The previously detected thiamin-regulatory element, thi box was extended, resulting in a new, highly conserved RNA secondary structure, the THI element, which is widely distributed in eubacteria and also occurs in some archaea. Lineage: Bacteria; Pseudomonadati; Pseudomonadota; Betaproteobacteria; Burkholderiales; Oxalobacteraceae. The record is from RNAcentral. RNAcentral also lists the same sequence under 1 other name.